Ailuropoda melanoleuca (giant panda) is the source of this 414-nucleotide long non-coding RNA. RefSeq lists it as uncharacterized. NCBI's taxonomy places the organism in Eukaryota, Metazoa, Chordata, Mammalia, Carnivora, Ursidae. The record is from RefSeq and is a predicted model, not a curated record. The transcript has 3 exons.
GUGAGGACAAUGUGACUUCUGCUGACCACAGGCUGGGCCCGGGGCCACACAGGUCUGAAGAAGCCCGCACCGCAGUGGGGACAGAGGCCAACCCACUUUGGAGCUUCCUGUCAUCCCAAAGCUUUAAUCAGAAUGAAACUCACAGACAAGGUGGGGAAGACGCAGCCCCCAGGGGCAAGAAGAGGUGGCUCCGGGCUGUCUGAUGAAUCAACACAGCACCCUAAGUUCUAAUGCACACCAGAGUGGGGGCUCCAGGGGCGUGUGCGAAGCCUCACUGCCCAGAGACGAGAACAGAAGGCACAGAGCCCCACCGACACCUUGCAGUGGCCUUGGCCGUGGGCCCUCCAGCCCGUUCUGUCCGUCCUCCCACUCACCCCAAAUUUGGCAGGAGACGUGAAUGCCAGUGCCAGCGCA